GCUCCUUUAACUCAGCGGUAGAGUAACGCCAUGGUAAGACGUAAGUCGUCGGUUCAAAUCCGACAAGGAGCU
RNAcentral lists this transfer RNA (72 nucleotides) under Scoliosorus ensiformis. RNAcentral describes it as "tRNA-Thr". It matches the Rfam family "tRNA". From Rfam's summary of the family: Transfer RNA (tRNA) molecules are approximately 80 nucleotides in length. Their secondary structure includes four short double-helical elements and three loops (D, anti-codon, and T loops). The record is from RNAcentral. Lineage: Eukaryota; Viridiplantae; Streptophyta; Polypodiopsida; Polypodiales; Pteridaceae.